GCCUCUGGAGAAUCCCACAUGUGGGUGCCGAAGGGGCAAGACGAGCGCAGGCUGCAAGGCCGAGCCGCAUAAGCUUGACGAAGCUGCAGCGGCGAACCGCAUCGUUGAAACUCUCAGGCAAAAGGACAGAGAAGA
This 135-nucleotide non-coding RNA is filed under the name Senegalimassilia faecalis. RNAcentral describes it as "Glycine riboswitch". It matches the Rfam family "Glycine riboswitch aptamer", at positions 9 to 86 of the family's 94-position model. Rfam says of the family: This family represents the bacterial glycine riboswitch. The record is from RNAcentral. Lineage: Bacteria; Bacillati; Actinomycetota; Coriobacteriia; Coriobacteriales; Coriobacteriaceae.